Molecule: unclassified non-coding RNA, 943 nt
Filed under: Leptinotarsa decemlineata (Colorado potato beetle)
Lineage: Eukaryota; Metazoa; Arthropoda; Insecta; Coleoptera; Chrysomelidae
Description: testis-expressed protein 9, transcript variant X3
Source: RNAcentral
GUUUCGUGGUUCCCCUUAUCAUGGUCACACACAAAGUAAAUAUGUACAAAUAAUACCACAAAUACUUCCACUUAUUUUUUACCACGGAAACGGAUUAUUUUAUAUUGCAAAUAAAAUUAGAGUUUCCAGCCAGAUCCUAAAAUAUUCUCAAUCGAAAUCUCAUGAACAUCAUAAAUCCAAUUUCUGUCGAAUCUAUCAGUUGUCAAAGGUUCUUCACUUUCCCUCUUUUUGUGUUUUUGGGAAUACCAGAGUUUUGCUAGUUGUUUUUAAGAAAAAUAUUGAACCAAUUUGUUAUAGUUCGUGUGUCUAUACAAAAAUUGAUUUAUGAAGGCAUUUUAUUUCCUAUAAUAUAAUAGAACACAAAAUGGAGAAUGGGAUACUUUCCUGGGUGCCAGACUGCUGGAAAAAGGAUGAUAUGAGUGCUCACUCAUGGUGUCAGAGAAUAGAAUUGGAAAGAACUUGUGAAGAAUUUGAACAAAUUCAAUAUGAGAUAAGAAGGGCUACUCUAGAUAUCAAAAAGCACAUAAGAUGUAUCGAAAGAAAUCAGUCUAUAUAUGACUUGGGACAAUUCCUUAUUAGGGGACAGCUUUUGAUGACUUUAAAACCUUUUACCAGCUAUUACAAAGUAAGGCGAUAUAUAAAAAUAAAAGCCAACCAUCUAACAGCUGCAUUAAAUUACAAUGUCGAUUAUAGAAGAUGUGGUUUGAGUUCAGUCGUUUUUAAUAGCUUCAUCCCUAAUAUGACAAAUGGCGAUAUUCUGUUGGUUAUCCAAGUUAUAACUUCUGAACCACAAAGCAGUUAUAUUACACCAUCUAACAGUUCAGAUUAUUAUAUAGAAUAUAUUGUAAGAUUUUGAAGGAGUCUAUACACGAAUCCUAAAUCUAUCCAAACACUUGAAAUUGUUACUUACCAUCAGUUCAAUAAUCUAUAUUUCAUUAAUUAC